AGCUCUACAAUAAAAUUCAAGUCCCAAGCUAAGAACAUGCAUCCAACUUAAUGCUAAAAAUUCUGCAAUUUUCUCUUUUUCCUCAUUUCAGCUUCAAUUCUUCCUGAAAUCAUUAUACACCUUAAUAAGCUCAUAUACACAUGAAACAUGCAAUAAAACUAAAUAUAAUGGAAUCAAAAUAAAUGAAUAAUAUGCACUCAUCAAAUUCCCUCACACUUAGCCUUUUACACGUCCUCGUGUAAACCAAAAGUUUGAUUUCCAAAAAAAUUCUAUUCAACCAUAGUGUCAAAAGAUUUCAAGAUACAAAUAAUGACUAUCAACACUAAAUUUGCAGAAAUCUAAUCAACGCCUUAUCAAUUAACUCACAAUUACCAACUUUACCAUUUCACCAAUGAAUUUCAUUAAAUCAAAUUGUAGCCACAUAAGUAACUUUCCCAAAAUCAUCAUACUUACUCAACUUAGUUACCAUGGAGCAAAAACCAUGCACACUGACUCAUAACCAAGAACAAAUUUUUCUCGCUUUUUAAUUUUUUCAUAGAACCUUCUUUUUAGCACAGAUGAAUGUAUUUUCAUGCUUCUUCUUUUUUUUUUCGUAUUUCUUUUUUUUUUUUUUUUUUUUUUUUCUUGACAUGUGCAAUGUCUCCUUUUCUUAGGCUUUUCAGAGUUACCCAUUAGCGAACUUUCCACCAACGACUCCCAAACCAGAUGAUCUUAGGGCGCUAGGUGUAGAGACACCCCUACGGGCUUACUUAUUCAAGUAACAAAGGCCACAAAAGUCGACUAGUCAAGCUGCUUUUAUCCAUCGCACUUUUCAGCGUGAAUACCGAUGCUUCCCGAGGCUUAGAUACCCAGUUAUUUCGCACAAUAGACAUUGAAGCAUAUUUUUAAUUUUUUUUUUUUUUUUUUUUUCAUUCAUCAUUAUUUCACAUGGUUCUGUAACAACAUAAGCAAGUUAAACAGUUCUUAAGUCGUGAAAUCAGUGCACAUAGACAACUCCACAAAUAACUUAGCCAAAUAAACAUGCUUCUCAUAUUCAAGUACUCAUGUAUCACAAAUUCAAUUCAAAUCAAUUACUAUGGAUCAUGGCUUAGUUGUCAUCAUUCAUUAACAAAUUAAGCAUCAACAGAUUCUGAAUUUUAGCAUCAAUUUUCAAUCUUUG
RNAcentral lists this long non-coding RNA (1159 nucleotides) under Panax ginseng (ginseng). Its description in RNAcentral is "long non-coding RNA (PGIN_LNC000700)". Lineage: Eukaryota; Viridiplantae; Streptophyta; Magnoliopsida; Apiales; Araliaceae. The record is from RNAcentral.